This 1378-nucleotide long non-coding RNA is filed under the name Olea europaea subsp. europaea. Lineage: Eukaryota; Viridiplantae; Streptophyta; Magnoliopsida; Lamiales; Oleaceae. The record is from RNAcentral.
AAUAUUCAUCUUUUUUGCUUAUCGUAGCUUGAUGCUUUGAUUGGCUCGUUGAAUUCGAAGGGUGAGAGGGAAGGAGCUCUUAAAAAGCAGCAUGAGAAAAACUACAACAAAAUAAAGUAAGUUGUUCAUGACCUUGUACAAAAAUUGUUACUUUCUCAUUUUUCAUGCCUCAAGUAAGGGGUGGAGGGGUGGCAUGGGGAGGGGGAAGUGGGAGAAAGCAAAAUGUGGGUGUGAAUUCUCGUGAGUUUAGCCAUUAUUGAUUGCUAAACUGAACAUUAAACUUGUGUCUUGUCCCGGGCAAAAAGUAAGCUAUCAUGGUUUGCUGUAGAUCUUUAUAUUUAUAUGUGGUUUAAUAUUGAACAAUAUGAAUAUUAUUGCCUUUUGCUCUGGAAGUUAUUUUUUGAUUUAUUUUGCUGCAAUUUUACUUCUGUUGGUUUUCUGUGCCGUGCAAAUUUCUUUUUCUUAUCAGUCAAAAGUUGUUUUUUCUCUUUUGAUUGGCUUUUUACAUCCUCAGUUGAGAAUUAACAUUGCACUCUGGUGAAACUAGCCAAUCAUUUUCACUAGUUGCAUACUAUAUGAGACUGUUUAGCAUGUUUGGCCAAGUUUUUAAUUUUAUUGAUGUAAAAAUAACAAUAUUGUGUUGAAGUGAACAGAAUCUGAAUGUUUUGUUUGCUGUUCAAACAUUUAUGUUUGGUUUUAUAUUCGGUUAUUUUGAGUAACUUGAUUGCACUGUGCAAGGGAAUUUCAUUAAAAAUGUUGUUUAGUUGUUUGAUGUAGUGUGUAAUAUGUAUGUCGUUUGUGUGUAGCAUGCCGGGAAAGAACUUCGGACUUUGUCAUAGCUGUAGAGAGAAGGGUCACUUAUUUGCGAAUUGUCCGUCCAAACAAAAGAUGAUGCUCCUUGUGUAAAUGUGGAAUUGUGAAGUGCUUCGAGGUCGAGAGGGAGACAAAGAACAAGGGAAGAUUGUUUGAGUGCUGCAGUGCUAAUUGUAAAUAGUGGGCAUAGGUCGAUGAGGGAGAAUCAAGCAGUGGGUCAAGUAAUAUUACCGCUAACUCGAAUAAUCAUGCAGCACUUGAAGAUGUUCAGCAGUUCUCUCGCGUGUUCCAGUCUCUUUGUCACGUGGUCUCUAAGGAACGAAACAUUGAGAUUUCUUUGAAUGUGACAAUAAGGAAUGCCAACGAAAGUGUAGAAGUGGAUGUGAAAGGGAAGGGGCCAACAUGAUUAGUGGUUAGCUGAAUAAGUGACUAGUGUAGUUGAUGUAUUCUGUUAAUAUUGGUGUUUGCACUAAGGUGUUGGCCAGAAAAUUAUUCCUCGCAAACGGUCAUGUUCUUAUCUUAAUGUGAUUAUUCUGGCUUGAAGUUAUUUUUAUGCAAAGCUAGG